Molecule: long non-coding RNA, 236 nt
Filed under: Brassica napus (rape)
Lineage: Eukaryota; Viridiplantae; Streptophyta; Magnoliopsida; Brassicales; Brassicaceae
Description: long non-coding RNA (BNAP_LNC006571)
Source: RNAcentral
GCAUUGUUUUUUCAUUUUGUAUGAAAAAAAAUAAGAUGACGUGGCAACUUCAGAUUCUCUGAUUGGUUGAUUUUCCUAUCCUACAUGGACACCCUUCUCAUGGCUUAUAUUGGCCUUUUAGUAUUGUAUUAGGGGCGAGGCUCCACGCAAGCGCGGGGUUAUGGAUGUUGUGGGGGCAUAAGUUGGGAGGUGUAGGUGUAUUCUUGAUAUACUUGAGGAGGACUUGUAGACAACAU